AAUAGAUACCCAGGUAGUCCACGCCGUAAACGGUGGGCACUAGGUGUGGGCGACAUUCCACGUCGUCCGUGCCGCAGCUAACGCAUUAAGUGCCCCGCCUGGGGAGUACGGCCGCAAGGCUAAAACUCAAAGGAAUUGACGGGGGGCCCGCACAAGCGGCGGAGCAUGUGGCUUAAUUCGACGCAACGCGAAGAACCUUACCAAGGCUUGACAUACACCGGAAACGUCCAGAGAUGGGCGCCCCCUUGUGGUCGGUGUACAGGUGGUGCAUGGCUGUCGUCAGCUCGUGUCGUGAGAUGUUGGGUUAAGUCCCGCAACGAGCGCAACCCUUGUCCCGUGUUGCCAGCAGGCCUUUGUGGUGCUGGGGACUCACGGGAGACCGCCGGGGUCAACUCGGAGGAAGGUGGGACGACGUCAAGUCAUCAUGCCCCUUAUGUCUUGGGCUGCACACGUGCUACAAUGGCCGGUACAAUGAGCUGCGAUACCGCGAGGUGGAGCGAAUCUCAAAAAGCCGGUCUCAGUUCGGAUUGGGGU
RNAcentral lists this ribosomal RNA (534 nucleotides) under uncultured bacterium. RNAcentral describes it as "bacterial SSU rRNA". It matches the Rfam family "Bacterial small subunit ribosomal RNA", at positions 777 to 1304 of the family's 1533-position model. The record is from RNAcentral.